UGACCCUGGCUCAGAUGAACGCUGGCGGCAGGCUAACACAUGCAAGUCGAGCGGAUGAGAGGAGCUUGCUCCUUGAUUUAGCGGCGGACGGGUGAGUAAUGCCUAGGAAUCUGCCUGGUAGUGGGGGAUAACGUUCCGAAAGGAACGCUAAUACCGCAUACGUCCUACGGGAGAAAGCAGGGGACCUUCGGGCCUUGCGCUAUCAGAUGAGCCUAGGUCGGAUUAGCUAGUUGGUGAGGUAAUGGCUCACCAAGGCGACGAUCCGUAACUGGUCUGAGAGGAUGAUCAGUCACACUGGAACUGAGACACGGUCCAGACUCCUACGGGAGGCAGCAGUGGGGAAUAUUGGACAAUGGGCGAAAGCCUGAUCCAGCCAUGCCGCGUGUGUGAAGAAGGUCUUCGGAUUGUAAAGCACUUUAAGUUGGGAGGAAGGGCAUUAACCUAAUACGUUAGUGUUUUGACGUUACCGACAGAAUAAGCACCGGCUAACUUCGUGCCAGCAGCCGCGGUAAUACGAAGGGUGCAAGCGUUAAUCGGAAUUACUGGGCGUAAAGCGCGCGUAGGUGGUUCGUUAAGUUGGAUGUGAAAGCCCCGGGCUCAACCUGGGAACUGCAUCCAAAACUGGCGAGCUAGAGUACGGUAGAGGGUGGUGGAAUUUCCUGUGUAGCGGUGAAAUGCGUAGAUAUAGGAAGGAACACCAGUGGCGAAGGCGACCACCUGGACUGAUACUGACACUGAGGUGCGAAAGCGUGGGGAGCAAACAGGAUUAGAUACCCUGGUAGU
Molecule: ribosomal RNA, 783 nt
Filed under: uncultured marine bacterium
Lineage: Bacteria
Description: bacterial SSU rRNA
Rfam family: Bacterial small subunit ribosomal RNA
Source: RNAcentral